AAGGGCUUAUUGAAAGCUCAACCCAUGUAACUUAUAUUUCACCUAUUUGUUCUUCCUGACCAAUUCCUCAGGAAUCGAUGUCAGUGUCUGACCAUUUUACAGCUCCAUGCAUGCAAGGUCUUGCUGGCAUUGAGUGCUAAAUGUGCUACGACUUUUCCGUUGUUGAUGAUCGAAACUCUUGAGAGCUUCUCGUUAGUUAUAAAAA
RNAcentral lists this long non-coding RNA (205 nucleotides) under Gossypium barbadense (sea-island cotton). RNAcentral's name for it is "long non-coding RNA (GBAR_LNC011377)". Lineage: Eukaryota; Viridiplantae; Streptophyta; Magnoliopsida; Malvales; Malvaceae. The record is from RNAcentral.